AGAAGCAUAGCUUUGCACGCAUGCACGCGAGUUUGAAACGCUCAAUGCUGAGAUCGAUGCGAAUGCAACGAUCUAAUACAAAAACUGGGAUUGCAUGGACCUGUUUCCAUACUAUGCCGACUGACCAAUUACUGUGAUUUGUCCCCGACGCCUCUGUGUUCGGACGCUAUGACGUCACCGACUGUAUCAGACUGUAUGCAGCUCUUGCAGUGGAGCGCGUGCUCCGAGCACAUGGAAAAGCGCUCGAGACGAAGUGCCCAUAGAAUAACUCCACACCUGAAAUGGAAUACCUGUAACAAAAGAAUCACAUCUGAAGCAAAAUAGAACUUCAGGACAGCUGCUAGUCAGCCUGUCUUUCUCUUGUUGGAUGCCGGAAACUGGAGCCACAUGAAUGCCAAACUUUUCAGGAAAAGACCUAUGUGUUUUGCCUCCCGUGAGCCAACAGCUCCAUGCCAUCAAAGUGAACCAUGCUGGUCUGCUGUGCAGUGAUGGGGAUCUGCUGUUGCCUGCAGAAAGCUGGCUUUUACGCAGUGGGCGUAAAGAUGUGGAAGAGGGUAGCUUAAGGAUUAAAGGAAGAAGCCGUGCUGGACUGCUGACAAAAGUUAACACUCAGCCAAAGUUUACAAGAUUACUGAACCCAAAAAAUUAUCUUCUGAGAACCUAGCCAGAUCUGAGGCCCUGUGGCGGUGUGUUUGAAGUCUGUUGGGGUCAGCAGUGUCAAGGUCAAUGUUCUUGUGUGUGGAAGUGUGACCUGCUGUAAUGUAUAACUAUAUGACAAGCAGAAAUAGGCAAUGAGUUUACAAUCAGUCCCUUCGUACGCUCUUGGAUUUAAAAUGAGAAAAGAGCUCACAGUUAUCAUUGAUCAUGGGAGACUUAUUAGAGUCUUAACUUUCAAGUAACAAUGCCCAGAUUCAGACCAGGAACAUGUGCUAUUUACUCAGGUAUUUCUCUAUAUCUUAAACAAGCAUGUUGAUAUACAGCAACCGGAUAUCAGAUACAGCUUUGAUCCUGUAUAUGAAAAGAAAAUGUCCCUGUUUAUUGACAACAUGAUUGAAUUCAGUGUGAUCAAGUAAAUGUCUUAUGAAAGGCCCUACUGAUAAUAUGUCUGUGUUUCAAAUAUACCCCCAUCCAUUUGUUUAAAAAAAAUAAAAAACUUUCAUAAUAUUAGUAUUCGGGAGGCAUUCUGUGCCAAAGAUUUACACUGCAACUCAAUUUACUUAUCAUGACAGUUUUGAUGUAAAUGGAGGAUGAGUGAAAAUAAUUAGGAGCAUUAAAUAAAAUAAAAUAUUUUUUAUUAAUUUGAUUAACCCCUUGACUCUCAACAGAUGUGUUGUGACAGCCAUCUUGAACAAGGAAUCAAAACUUUGUGUGCCCACAUUGUUUAUAAGAUAAAAGGUAGAAUCCACAUGCCUAUUCGAAAGAAUCUGGCUAAUCCCUUAUAGACUCCAUAAGGAAAAUACUGCAAAACUGGAGUACAGCAGAUCCUUGGUCCUGUUGAGCUGAUUAUUUGUUUAUGAAUUGAAGCUGUCCUUGGAUAAACAGAAGACAUGCAACUUUAUAAAGUGUUCAUGGUAGAACAAAUAUUACAUAUUGAGGUUCAUGCCCGCAGUUAGUUAACAGCAUAACACAUGCCUAAAGCAUUUCCAUAUACAGUAAGAGCUUUCUGCACAAACUCACCUGGACAGCAAUUAAUCUGCAAAUGUAUCCUUGAGCUGUGUAAACAUGGCAAGAUCUUUGAGUAAAGCAAAGUGUGCCAUUCUCAAAACCUGUUGAAAGACAAUAAGCACCCUUUAUAUAUGCCUAGACUACUCAUGAUAGUGUUUAUAACCUCUCAUUAGUCAACUGUUCAUAAUUUUUUAUACAGUACCCAUCAGAUCGAGCUAUAAUGCACAUGAUUUUUGUUACUCUGAUAUAAGCAAGACUUAUUGUCACUUGGUACCCAAUUUCUAAUAAUACAUUGUCUAUACUGUGUAAAAACAUUUUGACUUAAAGUAACAUAUUCCAUGUAUCUAAGGUCACCAGGAGUGGCUUGAGUUGGUUUUAAAUUGUAUCCUUAAUGUAGAAAAAAAAUGUAAGUGCAAACUUGUUGAUGAAUCAUGAUUUCUGUGUAAAAUUUGUUUACGCAGAUGUUUUAUGCACAAAUAAGUGUGUAUGCAUGGUGAGUGAAUGAGACUUGAGAAAUGCAAAUAAAAAUUUAAAAUGAAUAAGAGGAUUUUAAUAGUAAAAA
Myxocyprinus asiaticus (Chinese sucker) is the source of this 2227-nucleotide long non-coding RNA. RefSeq lists it as uncharacterized. NCBI's taxonomy places the organism in Eukaryota, Metazoa, Chordata, Actinopteri, Cypriniformes, Catostomidae. The record is from RefSeq and is a predicted model, not a curated record. The transcript is spliced from 4 exons.